AUGUGUUUGUGGGAUAAUGAUCUCUGGCUUAUGCGGUGCCCACUGAUAUGCAACUGGGCUGUUGAGUUUUAUUUGCCACAUCACGUGUGUCGUCAGUUUGGUCUAUUCCAGCCUCACCCGCCGGAUUGGGUGGACACGGACAAAGCACUUCAUAGGUUGGACAGGAGAAGGCAGCGGAAGAUAAAGGACUGGGACAAGCAUCAUGCUCCAUAUGUUACCCGCUUCCAGCUUUGUGUGGAGCAGGCUCGUAGCACUGCACACGCCCCACUUCGUGAGCAUAACCCACUUGCUUUUGAUAACUACGUACGAUGGUUUAUUGAAACUACUCAAGUUGAGAUAUGCCCGCCGGCAUAUAAUGAGGAUAUUCUUGAAGAACCCAUAAACUUUGAGGAUCUAGCAAAGGGGAAGUACAACAGAGAUGUCAGGGAAGGGCAAGGAGUCCCUGCUGUUCCAGUGAUUAACUAUGUGCGCACCGAGAUCAAGAAAGCAGCUAAUGAGAGCCAGUCUAUUCUGGAGAAGACACCGGUUGGAAACGGCAAUGAUGAUGAUUCAUUACGAGCAUUCCUCAAGCGUCAGGCCAAGAAGUUAAGGCGGUUAUCGAAUCUUCUCGGUUGCCGUGAUCCUGAAUAUGAUGAACCAUCUUCCUCUAGGUCUGGUACAACAUCAGACCCCUCAUCUCACCAUCAAGGGGACGAUGUGAGUUCCGCAUAUGCUUAUCUGGAUGAUGAGGGUGCGGUCACCCAAGAGGGCCAUGAGCUUUAUGAUGACAUGACUUCGGCGGACGCUCAAGCUCGGUCGACAUAUGUGUUCAAGCCUAGUAAUGCAGCCCAGACGCUGGUACACGCCGAACGACUAUGA
RNAcentral lists this ribosomal RNA (858 nucleotides) under Triticum aestivum (bread wheat). RNAcentral's name for it is "partial small subunit ribosomal RNA". Lineage: Eukaryota; Viridiplantae; Streptophyta; Magnoliopsida; Poales; Poaceae. The record is from RNAcentral.